This 254-nucleotide ribosomal RNA is filed under the name uncultured bacterium. RNAcentral's name for it is "partial 16S ribosomal RNA". It matches the Rfam family "Bacterial small subunit ribosomal RNA", at positions 524 to 776 of the family's 1533-position model. The record is from RNAcentral.
GACGAACCGUGCGAACGUUAUUCGGAAUCACUGGGCUUAAAGCGCGUGUAGGCGGGACGGCACGUCGGUCGCUGAAAGCCCCCGGCUCAACCGGGGAACGGGCGCCGAUACGACCGGCCUGGAGGGACGUAGGGGGACCUGGAACUUCCGGUGGAGCGGUGAAAUGCGUUGAGAUCGGAAGGAACGCCCGUGGCGAAAGCGAGGUCCUGGACGUCUGCUGACGCUGAGACGCGAAAGCCAGGGGAGCGAACGGG